Molecule: ribosomal RNA, 253 nt
Filed under: uncultured bacterium
Lineage: Bacteria
Description: partial 16S ribosomal RNA
Rfam family: Bacterial small subunit ribosomal RNA
Source: RNAcentral
GACGAGGGAUCCUAGCGUUGUUCGGAAUCAUUGGGCGUAAAGCGGGUGUAGGCGGGCUUAUAAGUCAGGUGUGAAAUCCCAGGGCUCAACCCUGGAAGUGCAUUUGAUACUGUAAGUCUUGAGUGUGGUAGAGGUUACUGGAAUUCCUGGUGUAGUGGUGAAAUACGUAGAUAUCAGGAGGAAUACCGGAGGCGAAGGCGAGUAACUGGGCCAACACUGACGCUGAGAUCCGAAAGCGUGGGGAUCAAACAGG